Molecule: long non-coding RNA, 214 nt
Filed under: Elaeis guineensis (African oil palm)
Lineage: Eukaryota; Viridiplantae; Streptophyta; Magnoliopsida; Arecales; Arecaceae
Description: long non-coding RNA (EGUI_LNC062580)
Source: RNAcentral
UCGGAUGGAUGGCUACCUCUCUCCGCCAGGCACCUCAACCGAACUUUGACUGACAGGCUAGGACCCCCUGGCAGGCCACAAUAAUGGCCAUGACUCUGCUCCACUUCCUACGAUGGAUCCCACAUGGCUCCGUCACUCCCUGGCAGGCCUCAGUAACGGCCACAACUCUGCUCCACUUCCUGCGAUGGAUCCCAUGCAGCUCCAUCACUCCCUG